Molecule: ribosomal RNA, 924 nt
Filed under: uncultured Moraxella sp.
Lineage: Bacteria; Pseudomonadati; Pseudomonadota; Gammaproteobacteria; Moraxellales; Moraxellaceae
Description: bacterial SSU rRNA
Rfam family: Bacterial small subunit ribosomal RNA
Source: RNAcentral
UGCUGGUAUGAUUAGUGGCGAACGGGUGAGUAAUGCUUAGGAAUCUGCCUAUUAGUGGGGGACAACAUUCCGAAAGGAAUGCUAAUACCGCAUACGUCCUAUGGAAGAAAGCAGGGGAUCGCAAGACCUUGCGCUAAUAGAUGAGCCUAAGUCGGAUUAGCUAGUUGGUGGGGUAAAGGCCUACCAAGGCGACGAUCUGUAGCUGGUCUGAGAGGAUGAUCAGCCACACUGGGACUGAGACACGGCCCAGACUCCUACGGGAGGCAGCAGUGGGGAAUAUUGGACAAUGGGCGAAAGCCUGAUCCAGCCAUGCCGCGUGUGUGAAGAAGGCCUUUUGGUUGUAAAGCACUUUAAGUGGGGAGGAAAAGCUAAUAAUUAAUACCUAUUAGCCCUGACGUUACCCACAGAAUAAGCACCGGCUAACUCUGUGCCAGCAGCCGCGGUAAUACAGAGGGUGCAAGCGUUAAUCGGAAUUACUGGGCGUAAAGCGAGCGUAGGUGGUCAUUUAAGUCAGAUGUGAAAUCCCCGGGCUUAACCUGGGAACUGCAUCUGAUACUGGGUGACUAGAGUAGGUGAGAGGGAAGUAGAAUUCCAGGUGUAGCGGUGAAAUGCGUAGAGAUCUGGAGGAAUACCGAUGGCGAAGGCAGCUUCCUGGCAUCAUACUGACACUGAGGUUCGAAAGCGUGGGUAGCAAACAGGAUUAGAUACCCUGGUAGUCCACGCCGUAAACGAUGUCUACCAGUCGUUGGGUCUCUUGAAGACUUAGUGACGCAGUUAACGCGAUAAGUAGACCGCCUGGGGAGUACGGCCGCAAGGUUAAAACUCAAAUGAAUUGACGGGGGCCCGCACAAGCGGUGGAGCAUGUGGUUUAAUUCGAUGCAACGCGAAGAACCUUACCUGGUCUUGACAUACACAGAAUCUUGC